This 165-nucleotide ribosomal RNA is filed under the name uncultured bacterium. RNAcentral's name for it is "partial 16S ribosomal RNA". It matches the Rfam family "Bacterial small subunit ribosomal RNA", at positions 1335 to 1500 of the family's 1533-position model. The record is from RNAcentral.
CUAGUAAUCGCGAAUCAGAAUGUCGCGGUGAAUACGUUCCCGGGUCUUGUACACACCGCCCGUCACACCAUGGGAGUCGGGAAUGCCCGAAGUCAGUGACCCAACCUUUGGAGGGAGCUGCCGAAGGCAGGUCUGAUAACUGGGGUGAAGUCGUAACAAGGUAUC